RNAcentral lists this ribosomal RNA (224 nucleotides) under uncultured bacterium. RNAcentral describes it as "partial 16S ribosomal RNA". It matches the Rfam family "Bacterial small subunit ribosomal RNA", at positions 107 to 334 of the family's 1533-position model. The record is from RNAcentral.
UGAGUAAUACAUCGGAACGUGUCUUCUAGUGGGGGAUAACUGCCCGAAAGGGCAGCUAAUACCGCAUGAGACCUAAGGGUGAAAGCGGGGGAUCGCAAGACCUCGCGCUGGAAGAGCGGCCGAUGUCCGAUUAGCUAGUUGGUGAGGUAAAGGCUCACCAAGGCGACGAUCGGUAGCUGGUCUGAGAGGACGACCAGCCACACUGGGACUGAGACACGGCCCAG